GGAUGAACGCUAGCGGACAGGCUUAAUACAUGCAAGUCGAGGGGCAGCACGGGUAGCAAUACCUGGUGGCGACCGGCAAACGGGUGCGGAACACGUACGCAACUUUCCUCUGAGCGGGGAAUAGCCCGGGGAAACCCGGAUUAAUACCCCAUAAUAUAAUCGGUAAGCAUUUGCUGAUUAUUAAAGAUUUAUCACUCAGAGAUGGGCGUGCGCCUGAUUA
RNAcentral lists this ribosomal RNA (220 nucleotides) under uncultured bacterium. RNAcentral's name for it is "partial 16S ribosomal RNA". It matches the Rfam family "Bacterial small subunit ribosomal RNA", at positions 27 to 243 of the family's 1533-position model. The record is from RNAcentral.